This is an RNA transcript of Penaeus monodon (black tiger shrimp), 1474 nucleotides long. It is a transcript of the gene named hemocyanin C chain-like, with no coding region annotated. The transcript is spliced from 2 exons. Lineage: Eukaryota; Metazoa; Arthropoda; Malacostraca; Decapoda; Penaeidae. The record is from RefSeq and is a predicted model, not a curated record.
AAAGAUUUGCCCACUUCGGGGGGGACAUUGGAAUGAACACUCAUCACGUCACCUGGCAUAUGGAAUUCCCAUUCUGGUGGGACGAUAAAUACAGCCAUCAUCUGGAUCGCAAAGGAGAGAAUUUCUUCUGGGUACAUCAUCAACUUACCGUUCGUUUUGAUGCUGAACGUCUCUCCAAUUAUUUGGAUCCCGUCGACGAACUUCACUGGGAGAAGCCAAUCGUACAAGGUUUUGCUCCCCACACCACAUACAAGUAUGGAGGACAAUUCCCCUCUCGUCCAGAUAAUGUGAACUUCGAGGAUGUGGAUGGUGUUGCUCGUAUUCGAGACUUGCUUAUUGUAGAGAGCCGAAUCCGCGAUGCUAUUGCACAUGGUUAUAUCGUCGACAGGGCUGGUAAUCAUAUUGAUAUCAUGAAUGAGCGUGGCAUUGACGUUCUUGGAGAUGUUAUUGAAUCAUCUUUGUACAGCCCUAAUGUGCAGUACUAUGGAGCCUUGCAUAAUACUGCUCACAUUGUACUUGGUCGACAGAGUGAUCCACAUGGAAAAUAUGAUUUACCCCCUGGUGUGCUAGAACACUUUGAAACUGCCACCCGUGAUCCUAGCUUCUUUAGGCUGCAUAAAUACAUGGAUAACAUCUUCAAGGAACACAAGGAUAGUCUCCCUCCAUACACCGUGGAAGAAUUGACCUUUGCCGGUGUAAGUGUAGACAAUAUAGCAAUUGAAGGUGAACUAGAGACCUACUUUGAGGACUUUGAAUACAAUCUCAUUAACGCCGUUGAUGACACUGAACAAAUUGCAGAUGUAGAAAUUUCUACUUACGUGCCUCGUCUGAACCAUAAGGACUUUAAAAUUAAGAUUGAUGUUAGCAAUAACAAGGGCCAGGAAGUUCUAGCUACCGUUCGCAUUUUCGCCUGGCCUCACCUAGACAACAAUGGUAUUGAAUUCACCUUCGACGAAGGCCGUUGGAAUGCUAUUGAACUGGAUAAGUUCUGGGUCAAGUUGCCUGCUGGAACAUACCAUAUCGAACGUAAAUCCUCGGAAUCUGCUGUCACUGUGCCUGAUGUGCCUAGUUUCGCAACUCUCUUCGAGAAGACCAAAGAUGCCUUAUCCGGUGCAGACUCCGGACUUACAGAUUUCGAGAGUGCAACUGGUAUACCUAAUCGAUUCCUUCUCCCUAAGGGUAAUGAACAGGGUCUGGAAUUCGAUCUUGUUGUAGCCGGACUGGAUGGCCGCAGCCGAUGCAGCAGUGAUGGUCUCCACGAAAAUACCGAAUUCAUCACUACGUUCCCAUGGAAAGUACCCUGACAAUCGCCCACAUGGCUACCCUCUGGAUCGCAAGGUUCCCGACGAACGUGUAUUCGAAGAUCUUCCCAACUUCGGUCACAUCCAAGUUAAGGUCUUCAAUCAUGGCGAAUAUAUCCAACAUCAAUAGGAAGCUCUAUUUUAUCUACAAUAGUCCUUAUAACAUUUGAAAA